GCCGGCAGCUAGCUCUCUGCAACUCUCACAUGGUCGCCCACUGAAGCCAAGCAGGGCUGUGCCCAGUCAGUAACUGGAUGGGGGACCACAUGGGAACACUAGGUUGCUGCCGGAA
This 115-nucleotide ribosomal RNA is filed under the name Danio rerio (zebrafish). Lineage: Eukaryota; Metazoa; Chordata; Actinopteri; Cypriniformes; Danionidae. The record is from RNAcentral.